CUUAGGGUCAGCAACGGCCACGCCAGGUGCCUCUCCCUCCAGGUCCGUGUGCAUCACUGCCCCAGAGUCCGCGUGGCCCAGCCGCCCGCACCCCGGCCCAGGCUGGGCGCUCGCAAUGGGUCCUGGGCUCCCGGAGUCCCGCACCCGGAGGGCAGGCAGCCGGCCAGGAGCGCCAGCUCGCCUCAGAGUUGGUGGGAGUCGCGCUUUUGCCCAGGUUGGGUUGGAGGGCUCUGCCUGAGAGGGCGCCCCCGCAGAGCCGGCCUCUUAGAGUCGCUUGCCUCGCACCUCCUUUCCUCUUUUCCUUCCAGUCUCUGCCGCUUUUCCCACCAUCAGAGAUUCAGGAAGGGCUGUGAAGCAGCUCUGCCGUGGGCGACCACGACAGACAAGGACCUGCCCCCUAGAACUCACCUUCUGCUGGGGGAGAGGCAGGACCAGGAACACCCCUAACUGCACAGCUGCAGUCUGUGAGAAGGGCAAGGAAGAAGCCAGAGCGGGGUGGGGGUACAGUGAGGGGCGGGACCACUUUAGAUAGGCCUCCGAGGAGGGGGUGUUUACGCUGACCGUGAACGAGAAGAGGGAGCCCGUCUUUGGAUGAUCUGGGAGAGAGCUUUCCAGGUGGAUGGAACAGCAAAGGCAAUGGCCGCGAGGUGAGCCAGAGGAGGCACGUUUGAGGCACAGCAGAGAUGGGUAUUGGGGAGGGUGUGCGGGCUGUGGCCAUCCGGUGGUCCCCGGAGCGCACUUUGAGAAACACUGUUAGCUCUAGGUGUUGGGUCAGGUCCCCGCCUUCCUCUCCCCUCUGAAAAUUGGCGUUUCUAUCUCUUUUCCUUGCUUACUGUCUGUCUUCCAGCUAGAAAUCAAGCUCCAUCGGGGCCAGGGUUAGUGCUCUCCCUCCAGCAUCUUCCACGCUGCCAGGCAUGGACAGAACAGACCAGGCUUCUGACAUAAACGCUGUGGGAACGCUCAGGACAGUGCUAUGGGAUGGAUCUGGUCAUCUCAGAGAGACCUGGGGCUUGCUGAAGCCCCAGGGGGAGGAUGUGGAGCAGUUCUCAGACUUUAUUAUGCAUCCAAAUCCGGGUUCUUUGCAGGACUUGUUAAAACCCAGAUGGCAGUCCCCCCCGCCCCCCCGACAAGUUUCUAUUCAGUAGGGUUGCUGGGGGGCCCUUAGAACAAGGUCCCUGGUGGUGCUGGUGCUACUGGUCUGGGGAUCCCGCUUUGAGAACCACUGAUGUUGAAGACUUGAAACUCAACCCUGCUGGGUCUGACUUCAGAGCCCACAGGAGCUGCCAGAUCCAGCGGGGCCUCGGGGCCUGACGCCUUGCUUCCUCUUGUGUAGGAUCAGGUGGACCUGGUGAGCGCCUCAGGGAAGGGCUGUCCCUGGGGGCUAGGCCUUUCCGAACACUGUGUGCCUCAGUGAAAUGUUGGGGUGACCUGUGGAUAGAAGACCCCGAAACUUCUGUCUUACUGGUAGAGCCCAUCAGUAAGGACGGUCCCUCCCUCCCACCCCCUAUCCACCCCCCACAUGCACAGACUCACUUGCUGUGCCCAGGAGUUAAAUUACUGCCUGGUCUUAUCCCCGACUUGUGCUAAACUACGUCCAAUAAAAUUCUUUUAAAUCCUUUUAAGGAAUUCCCUCUUCGCAGUUUCUCCCUCCCUUUAAAGGCUUCCAGAUUUUCAGCUCUUCCCUUCAUAUUUUCAUUUCCCUCUUGAGAAGCAUCCUUCCCGAGCUGUUGUGUGGAAAUGGAUGCUGAUGGUGCCUGUGAGAGUUCCCUGAGAAGACAGGAGCCGUGGAUGCUUGCUGAGCACCUACGAGGGCUAUUCGUAGACAUCAGAGGCACAAACUGGGCCAGUCGGUGGGCUCUGGCUCACAGACCUGUUUUAUUGGGCCCUGCUGGGUUAAAAUUUUUUUAAAAAUUUUGAAUUAGUUGCCAAUCUUUAAAGAUCGGGAGAUUUCACAUAAAUUUUUUUCUUCUGAAACACUGGGAGAUGUGGCUGACAUCCCUCACGUGAGCAGUGUGCUGGGGCCGGGUCAUCCCCUCCCUUGCCUGUGGUUUGGGCCUCAGCCCACAUCAUGUCACUUAAAUUACCAACGGGCCCCUGGAAGCAGGAGCUGCUGACCUCUCAUCUUGGUAAAUUGUCUAAGGUCACACAGGAAAUGGCAAAGCUGGAUCUGAACCCAGGGCUGUCUGACCUGAAAGCCCAACUUGUCACUAGAAAACAAGCUGCUCUUAGUUUUGGGGGCAGGAGGAGGAUGUGGCCUCCCUGGCCCGGAGGAAAUACCUUAAAAGGGAGUCACAGUUAGCGGUUAAAGGACAGGCGUUCCUUCUCAUUCAUAGCCAACUCUCGGUAAGUCAUAAAGUUCUGGGUUGUUUUUCCAGGGCACGAAGGGUUACCCAGAGCUGUCCACGCCGUUUGUCCAUUCUUCCCCUUGAGAUGAAAAGGCUUAGAUUUGCAAGACAACUGGCUUCCACAGAACCGGUUCCUUCAGGUCGCCGUCAAUGGUCACCUCAGGACUCCGGGAGCCGGGAGCCGGGCGCAGCCAGUGAGGCUGAGGUGUGCAAAGGGACAACUUUCUUUAAGUCUUUAUUUUAAAAGUUGGUAUUUUGCUCACCAUGGAUUGGUUUUGCACUAAAUUUGAUUCUUAAAAAAUAUCAUAUCAAAAUUUUAUUUAUCUUGAUUCCUGAGCUUUUUGGCGCCUCCUUAAAUUUCACCCCCAGGCGAGAGCCCCACCGGCCUCAGUCCAGCCCCAGCUCAGCUCCUGGUCCAGGGUGCUGUGGACUGGGAGUCAGGAGACCUGGCUUCUGGUCCAGCUUGUGCCACUAGACCAGCUGUGUGACUGAAUGCAUGUACCCUCGGCGCCCUGAGCCGCUCAGCUGCACCAUCUCUCCAGGGACGGGCUAUUCCUGGCUCUAGUUCUAGAAUGAUCCAAGACACUCCUUAGAACUCUGAUAGGUUGUGUAUUGUAUGCAUCUCCUGGGGGCUUUGGGCCUGUUUUAGGCCUCUGACUCUGGCCAUUAUGUCACCGGCCUUUCCCCAUCCCAUGUGAGGUGAUCCUCUGUGCAAACACCACAUCUUCGUGGCUGCUUUGUGCAAUGAGCGUUGAUGCCCUUGUCGUUUUCCCCAUCCUGGGGGGAGUUUCAGUUUUGGAGGUGUGGUCGUGCCCUUUAUUCUUGCUUCUUGCUCUUUGGUUCCAAUCACUGGAUCAUGUGACACACCUUCAUUAGGAAGCUUCCCAAAUGCCAAGUGCUGAGCAACCACUCAGGAUACAAAAGAAACCUGUCCAGCCCUGGAAGAGCUGACGUUCUAGCGAGGGAGCCAGCACAUAAGCAGACCCGUGUGCUGAGAGAAGUGUGCCCGGGGUAGAGGACGUCCAGCUCAGUGAAGGUCACCUUGAGAGGACGGUGCACUGUCCUUCCUCCUGGGGGGACCCUGCAUCCUGGGGGCUGUCUCCAAGUGCCAGCGGCCCAGAGCAGUGGGCAGUCACCUUCCUAAUGGACUCUCCGCCAUAGAGAGCUGUGGUGUGACAUUUUGCAUCCACACUUGAAUGGGCGAAGCUCUGAGUUACAGCUUUCAGUUCCUUCUAACUCCCCAUCUCCCUCCAUCCCUCCUCUGGAUUGUGGCUUGUUCCUCAGUUGUUCCUAGUUCUGACAACCCUCAAAACCUGUUUCAAAGUGCACCUCCCUCUUUCAGUUCUCCUCCGCUGCUCCAGCCCUCAGGGGACUCUUCUCUCACUUUUUUUCCAAAGCCUUUAUCAACUAAUAGACCUUCUGCCUGGAGCUUAAUUAAGAUCGGUCCAGAGUUUCUUGUUGCUUCAGCAAAGCCGGAAUGUAAUGGUUCUUGCAGGGAGAGGGCACUUGCCUGGCAGUCAGUAACAGCUGGGAGGGCUCUGCUCCUCCACUCAGAGGGUACAAACAGAUGUAUCUGGCUAGCCUUCUGUGUUUUAAAAAUAAUGAAUUAUGUGCCAAUACUUGAAAAUCAGGAGAUCUCAAAUAAAACUCUGGGUUUUCGGCUUCCCUUGAAAACUUAGAAGUUGUGCCAACCCUGAGCCUACAUUCCUCCCUGGCAAAAAUUGGCUAGAUCUGGUAGCACCUUUUUCCUUAAGUGGGGCAUGGGUCUUCCAGUUUGCCACAAUCCCCACUACUCCUUAAUGUCUAACAUUAGGCUCCCUUUACUUAUCUACUUUACCUUCCUGGCCCCUAGAGGAUUUUGAGAUUUUAAUCCCUUCUAACUUUUUUCUUUAAGAGGGUAGACAGCUCAUCAGAGCACUAUGCACUGGCUGAUGCUUAGCAUGGCCCAAAGGGAGGCUGGGCAUCACUCUGAAAAUUGUUGGGGAGGUGGGGAGGGGACACUUAGGAGGGUGCUUGCUGUGAAUCAGUCUGAAGAGUCUUAGUAUCAACGAACUCCAGUGUUGGAACUUGGCUGCUACCAUGCUGCUUUACCUGGACAUGUAGAGAUAUACUUAGUGUGAACAUAAAACAAUAAAUUUAUAAAAAUUAACUAACUUAUCAAGAGCACUUACUAUGUGCCAGAUACUGUUCUCAGAUUUUUACGUUUAAUUUCACAAUAACCCUGUGUGGUCACCACUGUUACUUCUCCCAUUUUAGAGACAAGGGACCUGAGACGCAGGUAGGUAACUUGCUCGGGAAUGCACAGCCAGAAAACAAGAGGCUGCAAUUGCACCAGACACAGAAUGCCUGGAACCUGGAUUUUACCAGGAUUGGAGGUACCGGCAGGUGAUGGGUUUUUCUAUUGUUGUCUUCUCUGCAUCAUCCAUUUCCUGGGGCUGUAAUCUGUUUCCCUCCUGCCAGGAGGCUGUGAAGUUUGAGGCUUCCUUCCCUUGGCACCGGGCUGAAGUUAGCUGGCCCCCAGCUCUGCUACUGUAGGCUCUUUGAUCUGGAGACACACUGGACUACACGGCUUCAGCAAGAGGAGGACAGGGGAGGGCUGGGGCAAGAAAGCAGGGGCUUUGCCAGCCCAGACCAGGUCCCCUCAGACAGCCCAGGGAUCCCAGAAGUGCAGGGCCCACCUGCCAGCCCCUGGGCAUGAGCUCGUAGCCCCUGUGUCCCCACGUCUGAGGUCAGCGCCCGGAUGCUGAGCUCCGAGCAUCCGUCUUGCUGCAAUGGAAGAUUUGAAUCCCCUUGUCGUCACUUUGCAUUGCUUCUGGGCUGUGUUCCCUCUUAUUUCAUUUUCGUCUGAAAUCCUGAGCUCACCCUCCUCGGCAGCUGACGGGCCCAUUUAUUUCCAAGGCUGCAGCCAGUCGGAGGGCUGCCGACAGCUCCGCGGAGCGCUCUGGGUUUGUGCCACCUCGUUUUGUUCCUGCAGACAGGGCUGGGAGACCAGAGAACAUCUUCAUUUUGCAGCAGCAAAGCUGUCAGAGCCUUCAGCCUCAGCCCUCAUCCUCUUGGGCCUGAGAUGCAUUUGGUUUGCCCUAGAGGGCACUGCCCGGGUUGACUCUGUCCCUUGGUCUUUCGUCCUUUUGGACUCAAAACCUUGAGAGCGUGCAGCCUGUGCUUUGCAAAUGUCCUGUCAAAUGCCCCUGAUUUGUCACAGUUGGAACAGCUCCUAGAGAUCGUGUUGUCAGAUCUUCUCGCAGUGUUCAGAUAAUGAAACAAAGCCCAGAGAGGGCAAGAGACUCAUGGGGAAUUGCACAGCAAGUGAGAGGCAGAACAAAACUGACAGGCUCCGGCCCCAGCCAUUUCACAUUAUUCCAGUCCACCUCUUCAGAAUCUCAGAAGGCCAGCCUCAAGGGACUCCCCUCACGAGGCAUCAUCUACCUGCAAGGCUCCUCCGCCAGCACUUCAGGGCACUGCUGCUCCUCCCCUUCCGGCCUCAGCUCAGAUGUCCCCUCCUCAGGGAGGCCCGCCCCUCCUGCCUUGUCUGAAGCACCCUCCAGUCACUCUCCAUCACAUUCUCUGACAUCCUCCAUUGUUUUGUCCUCAGAGCUCUGAUCAGUACCUGCAAAGAUCUCCUAUCAGAGUUUAAUUUGCAUUUUUGUUGUCGCUCCCACCAGAAUGCGAGCUCCAUCUCCCACCAGAAUGCGAGCUCCACCAGGCAGUGACCGCGUCUGUGUCUGUCUCACUCGCCUCAACCUCUCCAGUAACCUCGCCAGUACCGGCACACAGAGGCGCCCCGCAUGUCUGCGCAUGUGGAGUGAAGGGAUGAAGGGAUUUCAGGGACUUCCAAUGGUCCCUAAACAAGAGCACAGUUUUCAUUUCUUUCAGCACAGAUCCACUUUGCGUCUUCUGGAAUUUCACGCGAAUGGAAGCUUACGGAGCGUCCUCUUUGGCGUCUGCCUUCUUUUCCUCAGCAUCAAGCUCCACGCUCAGCAUCCGUGUUGAGUCUCCUGUCUUCUGCCGGCAUCCAUAAAACUGCGGUGGGCUCACUUGCUAGCUUGCAGCCACCACCACUCCGUCAGACACCCGGUGUCUCACUGGGCCCCUCGCCGGUGCUGAGUAAGCAUUAAUUUCACCACGCCAGAAAGUUGAAUCUGAGAGCACAUCCUUUCAAUAGAGGUAACAGCAAGAGCAGGCUUGUGAGUAGGAGAGAUCGGUGAAGACUGAAACGCUCGGGUCGCUGCACAUGCCUGGGGCCGGGGAGCUGAGCAGCAGCCGAAGGCAGGGACACACACUCGCUCCUGCGUCUCAGUUGUGGUAGCUGCAGCCUCAGCUGGGACGCAUCUGGCUGCAAAUCAACAGGCAAUUCCCGUGCCCACUGCCUUUUAUCCCCAUGGCUGUUCUACCUCCAGCUCUGUGUUCGGGAAUGGAGCCAGAGCCGUCGGAAGGGAUGGGCAGGGUGCCACAGCCGGAAGAUGGCGGGUUUUGAGUGUGUGGCGCAGGGUCCAAAUGCCGGCUCCGUCACUCUGCGCUCUGAGAGGACAUGGGUGAGUCAUUUAAGCUGCUCUGGGUCUCAGAUGCUUCACGGAAAACCAGGAUCAUUGUACCUUCAGCAUCGUUUUUUAUAAAAACGAAGGUGUGAAAUUGUAUGGGUGAGGUACAUGGUAUCUGGCAGCUGUGGUUAUGCCAAGGAGGGUCAUUGAUUGCUGCAUACGCAGCAUACACUAGGCCUGGCGCUUUGAGUUUUCACGUGUGAUCACGUGUAUCCCUCACAGCAAGCCUGUGAGGGAUUUCCACUCUCCUUCUUCUUACUCGAGUGAGGAAAUUGAGGGGCAGAGCCCAGGCCAUGGCCCAAGGUCUCAGAGCUCCUGCGUGGCCCAGGAGGGAGACGAACCCAGGCCAAUUGCCACCCGAGCAAGGUGCUUCCCUGCCUUGCUGUCGGCAGACUCUGCGGACCACACCCGGGGCCUCCCCCAGAGGCCGGUGACCCAGACCUAGCUGCUCAAAGGACUGUGCCCCUUGUGUUGGGCGGUCUGCUGGACCGACUGUGUAGUUUGCAGGGUCCAGUGCACAGGGAAAAUGCAGGGCCCUUGUUCAGAAGACAUUAAGAAUUUCUGGAUGGUGACAGCAGAGCAUUCAACCAAGCACAGAGCCCUUCUGAACAGGGGCCCACAGGUCGUAGGCCCAGGCAGCCGGCCCCAGUGGUCUUCACUGGGCUGUGCCUCCCAGGAGACUGGGGGCACGCUGUGGGCUCCCUCUGAAUGUUUUGUCAGCCUCCUAACUUCUCUGAAGACCCAAAGGAAACCCUGAGAUAUGCUAAGCAGGCCCAACACAAACCCUGAAAAUCUUCCUGGCUGCACUUAGCUCCAGCAAGAAUAUGACUGGAUCCACAUGAAAUGGUUACUUGUGACUCAGGCUGGCCAAGAGCCCUCACCUGCCCAACAGGUGAGGUCAGAAAACUCCACAGGCAGGCUCCUCAUGUUCCCUCUCCAGUUUACAACCUAAGAAAUUAUCAUAAUCAUUACAUUAAUUCUUAGUUAUAGUAAUAAUAAUAAUAAUAGUUUUCAACAGUAAUUUACUCUGUAGUCAGCAUUCACAUUUACUUAACUUACGCAGGUUAUAGACUUUCUGAAAAAUCAGUGUUACUGAACCAAUCUGUUCACGUCCAAAGUUAUAAACUGUAUUUCUUGUUCUGAAAAACUCUUUUUUUUUUUUUUUGCUGGGGAAGAUCCCUCCUGAGCUAAUAUCUGUUGCCAAUCUUCUUCUUUUUCUGUAUGUGAACCACUACCAUAUCAUGGCCGCUGACAGAUGAGUGGUGUAGGUCUGAGCCCGGGAACUGAACCUGGGCUGCCAAAGUGGAGGGUGCUGAACUUAACCACCAGGCCCCUGGGGCUGGCCUUGAAAAACUCUUAAUGCUGCAGUUUCCUGCAAAAUUCAGCACAAGAUUCCAACACUUCUCAAAUCGUUGAGCACAAGGAAGAAUACCCUUCUCAUCCCCCACCCAACACACACAUACAGCAUCAAUUAAUUACAUUAUUAUAAAUAAAAUGCUGUGGUGUAACAUUCCCGGCCCAGACUUGUCCUCACACAGGCCUCUGUCUGGCCACGCUGCUCGUGGCCAGCUUCAUAAUUUGGGUUCCAGACACGGGUCCAUACAUCCAAGCGAGGGGAACUGCUCUGGCCCACCUCACAGGCAGGCAGGACCACCACGCACCGACGUGACCCGCCUUACAAACAGGAGACCUGAGACGGGUGGUCAGAGAGCUGUAAGCAGCCUGGCUGGGGAGCGUCGAGUCACUCGAGUGGGCUGUUGGGGAGCCCCCAGCUGGCCCACUGAACUCGACAUUGUCUCACGUCCACCUCCCCAGGAGUCUCUUUGCAGCAGGUAUAAAUCUUAGUCCAUAAAAUUGGGCGUGCCAAAAAAAAGAAGUAGCACAUUUCUCUAUUUUCUUUCACUUCAAGUGGUGGCAGAUUCAGUCUCAGUCGUGGAUGGGGUUUUCUUUUCCCCCCACAACAGCCAGGCAUGUGCCAAGGUCCUGAGAGUGCCAGGCAGCGGGAAGGCCCUGGCUUCUGUCCCCGGUUGGGGGCACAGGCAUCUCCAUCGUGGCUGGGCAUCCCCUGCAUCGCCCGAGGACGGUCGUCCUCCCCUGGGGGCGAUUUUGCCCCCGCCCCCCAGGGGCAUUUGUCUGGGGACUUUUUUGGCUCCCACAACUGGCACCUCGUGGGGAGGGCCACUCAUGCAGCUAAAGUCCCUUCAACGCAUGGGACAGCCCCCUGCAGGAUAAAGAAUUAUUCUGUCCCGAUGUCGAUAGUGCUGAGGCUGGGAAACCCUGCCCUCAGAGGUUCUCAAGCCCCUAUUUCCCCAGCCUUCUGACUUCUGGCCACUUUAUAAUCUGGCAACUUCUUUUCCUUUCUCUUCAUGUUGUUCUGAAUGUAACUUCCCUCUCUAUUCUUGUUCUCUGCUAAACUACCUCACCAGUCAAAGAGCCCAGUUGUUCAUCCGCCACAGAGAUGACCCGUAACUGGUCGAAGCCAUCAUUUCCACACCCUAGUAUUAGAGACUGGCUUUUCCAGCCUCUCUUCCAGCUAGGGCUUGCCAUGUGACAUAGUUCUGGCCAAUGAAAUGUAAGGAGACAUGUGCUGGGGGCCUCUGGAAAAGAGAUUGCUCCUUGUGUGAGGUGUUCUGGAGAGGAGAGCUGUCUGGUGUCAGCCACCAUGAUUUUCCUGCCUGGAACAACCACGUGAGGAUGUAAGGUGUAGGGCUGUGGCAGCCGUCUUGCAACCAUGAGGUAAGUCAGGAGAAUUGCAGACAUGAGCCACCAAAUGGACCCUGGAAUCAUCCACUUCCAGGUCUCUUGUUAAAUAAGCUACAAAUGUCCUUAGAGUUUAGACCAUACUUGAUACACUUGGGCAAACCUCUUAACCUCUCUCUAUCUUACUCUUGUGUAAGAAGGGAAGAAUAAAUGCUUCCUGCAUAAAGUUGUUAUGGAGAUUUAAUGAGAUGACGUAUGUAAAGCAUUUGACUAAGUGCCUGGAAUAUAAUAACUAUUCAAUGUAUUGCAAAUGUCUUUGUUACUGUCCCUAUGAACCGAAUUAAUUGGGGAUGAUAUUACGGGUCUUCCGGUAAAUUUCUUCUACUGAUUGAUUGUUCACUCAAUUAUCCAACAAACAGGUAUUAGCGCCUGCCAUGCUAAGAUACUGGAAAUGAUAGGAAGUUAUUUAAGAGAAUACAAUUAGGGGGAAAUGAUACCUGAGAGGUUGUAUAUUAGAUCCCAGCAAAAUUCUCUUUUAUUCAAGAGCUGGAUUUUGUAAACUUUAGUUUCUGUAUUCUGUCAUUGUAUGUGUCAUAUCCAUGUACCAUGUCCUUGCCCUGGUACAAUAGCUGUACUGUUAUUGACUUAAAAUUUUUCUUUAAACCAACUUACUCUUUUGGGUUAAAUAGAUUUAUUUUUAAAAGAAACUUUAUAUCACUAUGGUAAAUGAACAACCAACAUCACUAGCCAUAAACAAAAAAUAGCCAAAAUAUAAA
RNAcentral lists this long non-coding RNA (10359 nucleotides) under Equus caballus (horse). RNAcentral describes it as "lncRNA (ENSECAG00000053286.1)". Lineage: Eukaryota; Metazoa; Chordata; Mammalia; Perissodactyla; Equidae. The record is from RNAcentral.